UGGAGGAAGAUUCCCACCCAGGAGAUGGCUCAAGAGUAGAUCAACCUGGACAUUUAGUUCUUUUUCCUUCCAGGUGCUUCAUGAUUGUAGCUGCCCCAGGGCAUUUUACCACAUUGCUACCACGGAACAUGCUGUUCUUUGCAUGAGGUUUUGGAACUACACUCAAGAGGAGCGGCCGUGUGCUGUCUGAUGUCAGCAGAGACAGUCCUUGGAUACUUGGCUUUGCAAGCAGUUCCUCCAAGUCUUUGCGUGCCGUCUGUGGGCGAAGCAGCCAUCAAGCCCGGUCGUGUUGUGACGUGAAAGCUUCAUUUCGCCGGUGCUGGGCGACUGGGAUCAUGGGUUUCAGUCCCGGCCUCUCGCGGGUUGGGAGGACAAUUGCUGCUUGGCCUCUAGGUGGCACUGUUGUAUCUAUUGUAAGAGGCGCUGCACUUGGCCACAUCCCUGCUAUUUAAGAUGGAGGAGAAAAAAGAAAAGAAAAAAAUAAUAAAAUACACCCCCCCUCCGCCAGCCCCCCCAUCUCCUAACAUCACAACCUGCUUUACCUAGGCACACCCCCUCCGUCCUGCCCAAGGACACUAUACGUUGUUUAACCUCAAAUGAUUUACUUAAAAUCAGUGUUUCUCUUACUUCCUUUGCUAUAUAGGGACGUAUCAAGUUCAGAUAGCAUUCAUUUGAGAUCUUAGCUGCCCAGGAUAGUACCUGCCUUUCCCCGUUUUGCUACCCCUGCCCCAGUCCUCCCGUUUUCCCUUCCAUACUGCUGCCACACUGUGCCAGGUCACGGUGGUUCCUGGGACCCUGGGAGGCACUGGUGAGGAGUGGAGUCGGGGCUGAAAGGAGCAGCUUGGCAGACCUGUAAGGACCAGGAAGAUGGCAAACUGGCUGAAAUUCGAAAGGGAGUGGAAGGGAAGCCAGUUCCUGCUUCUCCCAUUCCAUUCUUUCUGGCAGUCUAGAAAACCUGUUUCCUCCCCGGCUGAUGGGUUUGGGCUAAGUGUGAGGAUUAUAUUCUGACAUCUAGUUAGAGCUCACUCAUUAGGAUUGCCUCAGUUUCCCCAGUGCUGAGAUGGGACAUCCUACUGACCCA
Non-coding RNA from Leptonychotes weddellii (Weddell seal), 1081 nucleotides. Lineage: Eukaryota; Metazoa; Chordata; Mammalia; Carnivora; Phocidae. The record is from RefSeq and is a predicted model, not a curated record.